GGUUAAGCGACUAAGCGUACACGGUGGAUGCCCUGGCAGUCAGAGGCGAUGAAGGACGUGCUAAUCUGCGAAAAGCGUCGGUAAGGUGAUAUGAACCGUUAUAACCGGCGAUGUCCGAAUGGGGAAACCCAGUGCAAUUCGUUGCACUAUCGUUAACUGAAUACAUAGGUUAACGAGGCGAACCGGGGGAACUGAAACAUCUAAGUACCCCGAGGAAAAGAAAUCAACCGAGAUUCCCCCAGUAGCGGCGAGCGAACGGGGAGCAGCCCAGAGUCUGAAUCAGCUUGUGUGUUAGUGGAACGGUCUGGAAAGUCCGACGGUACAGGGUGAUAGUCCCGUACACCAAAAUGCACAGGUUGUGAACUCGAAGAGUAGGGCGGGACACGUGGUAUCCUGUCUGAAUAUGGGGGGACCAUCCUCCAAGGCUAAAUACUCCUGACUGACCGAUAGUGAACCAGUACCGUGAGGGAAAGGCGAAAAGAACCCCGGCGAGGGGAGUGAAAAAGAACCUGAAACCGUGUACGUACAAGCAGUGGGAGCACCUUCGGGUGUGACUGCGUACCUUUUGUAUAAUGGGUCAGCGACUUAUAUUCUGUAGCAAGGUUAACCGUAUAGGGGAGCCGCAGGGAAACCGAGUCUUAACUGGGCGUUAAGUUGCAGGGUAUAGACCCGAAACCCGGUGAUCUAGCCAUGGGCAGGUUGAAGGUUGGGUAACACUAACUGGAGGACCGAACCGACUAAUGUUGAAAAAUUAGCGGAUGACUUGUGGCUGGGGGUGAAAGGCCAAUCAAACCGGGAGAUAGCUGGUUCUCCCCGAAAGCUAUUUAGGUAGCGCCUCGUGAACUCAUCUUCGGGGGUAGAGCACUGUUUCGGCUAGGGGGUCAUCCCGACUUACCAACCCGAUGCAAACUACGAAUACCGAAGAAUGUUAUCACGGGAGACACACGGCGGGUGCUAACGUCCGUCGUGAAGAGGGAAACAACCCAGACCGCCAGCUAAGGUCCCAAAGUCAUGGUUAAGUGGGAAACGAUGUGGGAAGGCACAGACAGCCAGGAUGUUGGCUUAGAAGCAGCCAUCAUUUAAAGAAAGCGUAAUAGCUCACUGGUCGAGUCGGCCUGCGCGGAAGAUGUAACGGGGCUAAACCAUGCACCGAAGCUGCGGCAGCGACACUAUGUGUUGUUGGGUAGGGGAGCGUUCUGUAAGUCUGCGAAGGUGACCUGUGAGGGUUGCUGGAGGUAUCAGAAGUGCGAAUGCUGACAUAAGUAACGAUAAAGCGGGUGAAAAGCCCGCUCGCCGGAAGACCAAGGGUUCCUGUCCAACGUUAAUCGGGGCAGGGUGAGUCGACCCCUAAGGCGAGGCCGAAAGGCGUAGUCGAUGGGAAACAGGUUAAUAUUCCUGUACUUGGUGUUACUGCGAAGGGGGGACGGAGAAGGCUAUGUUAGCCGGGCGACGGUUGUCCCGGUUUAAGCAUGUAGGCUGAUUAUCCAGGCAAAUCCGGAUAAUCAAGGCUGAGGUGUGAUGACGAGGCACUACGGUGCUGAAGUAACAAAUGCCCUGCUUCCAGGAAAAGCCUCUAAGCAUCAGGUAACAUUAAAUCGUACCCCAAACCGACACAGGUGGUCAGGUAGAGAAUACCAAGGCGCUUGAGAGAACUCGGGUGAAGGAACUAGGCAAAAUGGUGCCGUAACUUCGGGAGAAGGCACGCUGGUGUGUAGGUGAAGUCCCUGCGGAUGGAGCUGAGACCAGUCGAAGAUACCAGCUGGCUGCAACUGUUUAUUAAAAACACAGCACUGUGCAAACACGAAAGUGGACGUAUACGGUGUGACGCCUGCCCGGUGCCGGAAGGUUAAUUGAUGGGGUUAUCCGUAAGGAGAAGCUCUUGAUCGAAGCCCCGGUAAACGGCGGCCGUAACUAUAACGGUCCUAAGGUAGCGAAAUUCCUUGUCGGGUAAGUUCCGACCUGCACGAAUGGCGUAAUGAUGGCCAGGCUGUCUCCACCCGAGACUCAGUGAAAUUGAACUCGCUGUGAAGAUGCAGUGUACCCGCGGCAAGACGGAAAGACCCCGUGAACCUUUACUAUAGCUUGACACUGAACAUUGAGCCUUGAUGUGUAGGAUAGGUGGGAGGCUUUGAAGCGUGGACGCCAGUCUGCGUGGAGCCAACCUUGAAAUACCACCCUUUAAUGUUUGAUGUUCUAACGUUGGCCCCUGACCGGGGUUGCGGACAGUGUCUGGUGGGUAGUUUGACUGGGGCGGUCUCCUCCCAAAGCGUAACGGAGGAGCACGAAGGUUAGCUAAUCCUGGUCGGACAUCAGGAGGUUAGUGCAAUGGCAUAAGCUAGCUUGACUGCGAGCGUGACGGCGCGAGCAGGUGCGAAAGCAGGUCAUAGUGAUCCGGUGGUUCUGAAUGGAAGGGCCAUCGCUCAACGGAUAAAAGGUACUCCGGGGAUAACAGGCUGAUACCGCCCAAGAGUUCAUAUCGACGGCGGUGUUUGGCACCUCGAUGUCGGCUCAUCACAUCCUGGGGCUGAAGUAGGUCCCAAGGGUAUGGCUGUUCGCCAUUUAAAGUGGUACGCGAGCUGGGUUUAGAACGUCGUGAGACAGUUCGGUCCCUAUCUGCCGUGGGCGCUGGAGAAUUGAGGGGGGCUGCUCCUAGUACGAGAGGACCGGAGUGGACGCAUCACUGGUGUUCGGGUUGUCAUGCCAAUGGCACUGCCCGGUAGCUAAAUGCGGAAGAGAUAAGUGCUGAAAGCAUCUAAGCACGAAACUUGCCCCGAGAUGAGUUCUCCCUGAGACUUUAAGUCUCCUGAAGGAACGUUAAAGACGAUGACGUUGAUAGGCCGGGUGUGUAAGCGCAGCGAUGCGUUGAGCUAACCGGUACUAAUGAACCGUGAGGCUUAACCUU
Molecule: ribosomal RNA, 2902 nt
Filed under: Klebsiella pneumoniae
Lineage: Bacteria; Pseudomonadati; Pseudomonadota; Gammaproteobacteria; Enterobacterales; Enterobacteriaceae
Description: 23S ribosomal RNA
Rfam family: Bacterial large subunit ribosomal RNA
Source: RNAcentral